This is a long non-coding RNA of Pseudomyrmex gracilis, 1984 nucleotides long. RefSeq lists it as uncharacterized. The record is from RefSeq and is a predicted model, not a curated record. NCBI's taxonomy places the organism in Eukaryota, Metazoa, Arthropoda, Insecta, Hymenoptera, Formicidae. The transcript has 3 exons.
CCUAUCACUAUCUCUUUCUCUCUCUCUCUCUUUCUCUUCGUAUCUUUCUCUCUUCUUUUAUACUCGCCUUUCCGAGCACCGCGCAUUCAAUAGCAUAACCUGUGCAAUUUCAACAAAUUCGAUUUUUGUUUUUUUUUUUUGACAUUCACCGAUUUUCAGCCAGCGUUAUGUUUGCGCGUCACACGCUAAAUCGCGUAAUUUCCAUUAUCGUAUUACGACGAUCGCUCUUCUGUUAAAGUAAAAUCGAAAAGAUUUUGAACUUGGAUUUUCAAAAAUAUAUGGUCGCGGUCUCUCUGUUUCGAAGAUCACCGGCGACAACGCGCGACAUAAAAGAUUUUAUUGCCGAAGGAUUUGUUUUCUCGUGUCGCACGUUACACCUGCUGCACAUUCGAAGGUAGCGGGAUACCACCACACAUUCGUACACGCAAAAGAGAGAAGCAAAACAUUCGACAGGAACGACAAGAACAAACGUGUCGUGAUUGUUACUACUAGGAAGAGUCGUUUAUCGCAAGGUCGCGAACACACAUGAGUCAGACGUGUCUCUAGUUUACGCCGCGAGAUGUAACGAGUCUUUGUAUUAACAGCCAGUGAUGCUCACUUUGUUUUUUUUUUUCUUUUUUUUUUUUUUUUUAUCAAAACCACUUGCGACUCGGUAUAGAUAAAACCGUGACUCGAAUCGAAGAGAGUUCGCUUCGCGUGUCGUCGCUCUUUUUCUCAUCCGCAAAGAGAAGUUCGCGGACGUAAAAAUUAUGUAAAAAUUAUCACUAGACGUUUGGACAAUUUGUCAUCGCGCGAAGUAACGUGUAAAUAUAAUUAUAUUGAGCAGUCUUUCUUUUCAAUGUCACAGAUAAAACAUGAGUCACUCAUGUGAUGCUUCUUCUACCUGAAAUCUUCGUGGUUUUAAUACGCUGACAAAUGUUAGAUAACUAGACGAUAAUAUCAAUUUCUUUGUACACGCAAGUACGUAGGACUUGGUGUCGAAUUUGAAGAAGAAAGAUGGAAUUUUUUGUUCCGGAGAUUUUGAAGAUAAAGUGGAACAAAGAAAAAAAAAGAGCAAAUUUAUUGUUCGAAACGACGGGGACGAAGUUAGGCCAGCUCGUGAUGAAUCAUCUUCCGUUUGACUUUCUGCACGACUGGUACGUUCGAGGGGGAGAGUACGCAUGCCGUGUAGAGAGAAGACAGAAAACCCUCCUUUCCCCGGACACCCUCUUUAAAAAGCGUUCGCCGCGGUCUCGUACGUAAUAUCGACCCAGAAGUGUUACAUCCUCUGCAUUCACUGACCGCUAAGUGUCGCCGUUUCUCACAGAAUCCCCUCUUUUAUAUCCCAAUUUACCGCCCGUUGCAGCUCCACGAUCAAACGAGCUGUGUGAAUACAUUUAGCAUUGAUAUCAAAUUCGAACGGAGAUACACACACACACACGCACGCACAAAAUCAUACCGUGUCCAACAUUAAGUUAUUAUUUCACGAAUUUUCUGUGAUGCGGAGAGAAAGAGAAAGAGACGAAGAACAGCCAAAAGUUUGUAGCACGCGGCACGUGCCCAAGAGCUAGGGGAUAACUUUAGAAGUGGAUCGUCGGAUCUCUCUUUUAGCAUCGAGAUUCGCGCGUGGGAAGAAUUUAUUUUCGGGUAAGCCGUGCGCGUUUCCCUCUUACGUAUUUUGCCCGCGAAACAAGCUUAAAGAUCUCUCGGCUGACACCCGAUGUGUGCAACCGCCGGAUCCCGAUGUAUCGUUAUCGACGAGAUUGAUAUAUCUCGCUAAUGACCGCGUGCCAGUCAAUCCGGCCCGCCCGUUAGCGCGGCGGUAAUCAAGCGGUUUCGUUUUACUGAAAGGCGUCGAUAAAAUAACCGGAAAUAAACUCAUGGUUUUGCACAUUCAUUACCGGUUUUUUUUUUUUUAGAGUAAUAGAAUAUUCAAGUGAAAUAAAAUAUUUAUUGUGUAAUCGCUCGUCUCCUUUUCUCUUUUCCGCUCAGACUAAUGUGUAUU